CAAAUUAAACAAAUGUUGGAAUGCAUCAUCCAAUAGUAUUUGAUCACGUGAUUUUAAAUAUUGGUAAAGGAUAUAACAAAUAUACGGGAACUUUUACCGCCCCUGUAAGUGGAAUAUAUGUUUUAACCUUCACUCUCUAUCCAAAUCGAUAUAGCUCCAUAGCAGUGAAUAUCUUCAAGAACAGUGAAGUAAUUGCUCAGAGUUAUAUAGAGAUGACAUCUGGCAUGCUCAGUGGAACAACCCCAGUAGCUGUCGUUGAUAUGAAUGUUGGAGAUACUGCAUUUGUUAGAACCCGUUCCAUUCAUCAACCACAUGGGGAUAUUUUUAG
RNAcentral lists this long non-coding RNA (328 nucleotides) under Mytilus galloprovincialis (Mediterranean mussel). The record is from RNAcentral. Lineage: Eukaryota; Metazoa; Mollusca; Bivalvia; Mytilida; Mytilidae.